CCUACGGGCGGCAGCAGUGGGGAAUAUUGCACAAUGGGCGCAAGCCUGAUGCAGCCAUGCCGCGUGUGUGAAGAAGGCCUUCGGGUUGUAAAGCACUUUCAGCGGGGAGGAAGGCGGUGAGGUUAAUAACCUCAUCGAUUGACGUUACCCGCAGAAGAAGCACCGGCUAACUCCGUGCCAGCAGCCGCGGUAAUACGGAGGGUGCAAGCGUUAAUCGGAAUUACUGGGCGUAAAGCGCACGCAGGCGGUCUGUCAAGUCGGAUGUGAAAUCCCCGGGCUCAACCUGGGAACUGCAUUCGAAACUGGCAGGCUAGAGUCUUGUAGAGGGGGGUAGAAUUCCAGGUGUAGCGGUGAAGUGCGUAGAGAUCUGGAGGAAUACCGGUGGCGAAGGCGGCCCCCUGGACAAAGACUGACGCUCAGGUGCGAAAGCAUGGGGAGCAAACAGGAUUAGAUACCCCGGUAGUC
This 465-nucleotide ribosomal RNA is filed under the name uncultured Klebsiella sp. RNAcentral describes it as "bacterial SSU rRNA". It matches the Rfam family "Bacterial small subunit ribosomal RNA", at positions 338 to 795 of the family's 1533-position model. Lineage: Bacteria; Pseudomonadati; Pseudomonadota; Gammaproteobacteria; Enterobacterales; Enterobacteriaceae. The record is from RNAcentral.